Molecule: long non-coding RNA, 438 nt
Organism: Ictalurus punctatus (channel catfish)
Lineage: Eukaryota; Metazoa; Chordata; Actinopteri; Siluriformes; Ictaluridae
Source: Ensembl
GUUUACGGUGUUGUAGAUUCCGAUAGAGAGGUUUACAGUGUUUUAGAGUGUGAUAGAGAGGUUUACAGUGUUGUAGAGUCCGAUAGAGAGGUUUACAGUGUUGUAGAGUCCGAUAGAGAGGUUUACGGUGUUGUAGAGUCCGAUAGAGAGGUUUACGGUGUUGUAGAUUCCGAUAGAGAGGUUUACGGUGUUUUAGAGUCCGAUAGAGAGGUUUACGGUGUUUUAGAGUCCGAUAGAGAGGUUUACGGUGUUUUAGAGUCCGAUAGAGAGGUUUACGGUGUUGUAGAGUCCGAUAGAGAGGUUUACGGUGUUGUAGAAUGGGAAGGAGAGGUUAGGUGAAUCUGAGAUAGCUGUGACCAAAAUUAAGGAAUGAACAAACAAGCAGACAAGGGGAGAUUAGACCAAAAUAGAAAGUACAGCAAAAGAGAGGCAUGUCAU